GAUGACCCCUCCAAAACGUCCUCGACUGAGAAUAGCUUGGGCAACACAGCCACAUCCAAGGACCUGGAAUGAGAGGAAAACUCAACAGAUGCUGAAAUGGCUUUUCUUAGGAGGAUAAUCAAUGCUGUGUGCUGCAGGAAAUAGGAGGAGUGAUGAGCAAUGUGGGGACUUCAGUUACCCUCAUCAGAAUCGCCACUCAGAAGAUUGGAGCCCAGAUUUCCAGCAUUACAUCUUAAUUUAGAAAUGUUUUAUUGUAGCCUGAAAAGCAACGAGGAAGCCAGGGCCCAACAGUGCCAAGGCCGCCUCUUGUCACUCUCAACCUGGGAGAUCUCUGCAUAUGGAGGAGUUCUGAGGACUGAUGUGUUUCCAGGGUCUGCAAAUCUCAAAGUAUGUUUCACAGAUCAUUAGUUCCAUUAGAUGCUCCUCAAAAAAGGGGUUUGUGGUUAAGUAGAGCUGAAGACAGCUUUACAUUCUGUUCCCCUCUUAGAGAUUUACAGAGAACAUUAAAGGCUCUGAUAAUUCCUGCAGUUGAGAAAACUGCUUAUUUUGGUUUAACCCAGUGUUUCCCAAACAUAUUUGGGAAGGACCACAUGUAUUUUUUUCACUUAAUUCUUGUUUGCAUCUUUUGGAACUAGUGUUUUUCAGAACAGAUUUUGAGCAACUCCCUACAAAAAUGCUUUGAAAAGACAUACUCUACUGGGUGAGCUCUCUCAUGGGGAGGAAGGGGGUGAAGAAAAUACAUAUGAAUAUGUACAAGUUUUUAAAUUUCAAAAGGGUAUACUAUAAAAUAUAAGAAAUGUGUUUCCUUCCAACCCCAGAUUUUAAAUAUUAUUCUCCACAGGUAACUAAUAUCAAUACUUCCUGGUAUGUUGUCAAAAAGUGUGCAUGUGCCUCUGUGUGUGUGCAUGUAUAUGUGUGUGUGUGUGUGUGCAUGUGUUUAUACAGGUGAGGGUAUUUAACACAUACCAUUUCUGCCUGCUUUUUCUACUUGAAUAGCUUAGAGUAUUUUUGUAUUAGCAUGUAAACCUUCUAUUUAAUGGGUAAAUAGGAGUCUUGCAUAGAUGCACCCCCAUUUUUUUAACCAAUCACCUGUUGAUAGAAGCAUAGGGUUUUCGGGAGGUACUCUCAUAAGAAAGCUUGAAUUUCCAGAAAGACUCUAAGGCAUGUGCGCUGAGAGGGACUAAGCCUUCAAGUCGUUUAUGGUCUUGACUGACUGUUCUAGGCUCACAUCUUAGCAUGACCAGCCAAGCUACUGAGAUGGAGAAAAGGGCAAGGGGCAGGGCCGGCACACUUUGCUGGCAUAGUUUCUCUUAAAUCACUUGCUUUGCUUAGAAGUUUCAGUGAACUCAGCAAUCCUGCCCCAGACAUGAAAUUAGAUGCCUGCUGGAGGUAUAAUGGGCACCUAAUUUCUUCACGGUUGAACUGCUUCAGCCAUUUGAACCAUCUGUGGGUUGUUAGGUCACUUUCACAGGGCUGAUGAGUAAAUAAGGGCCAACUUCUGCUCUCAUUAGUAUGUUUUCCUUUCUCGUCAAGUAAUGAGAACAUGUUGCAAUGGGAUUCGUCACUAAAGAAAAACUGACGAAACCCACUUCUGGAAAGUAGAAAAAAAAAAUACUUCCCCUUUGAAAGUCAAUGAAAACAGUGAGUUUUCUGGGUAAAAUUAAAAUUCACAAUCAGAAGCAGAAUCCUGUUUGGCAGAAUCAAGUUUGGCUCCAGGAGUCUGCAGCCCUUAGAUCAGUGAUCCAGAACGGACUUUUCUCCCAAGCGCCUUGAAACUGUAAGAUUUCCCAGGUGAGCCUGGUCCUCCACGUUCAUUGCUGAUAGGGGGAAGUCUGUAGGAAAAUUCUCCCUCAGCUGCUAGUGACUCAAAGUCUAAGGAUGUCAAAAGAGCUGGCCUCAUUUGUAGGAAGCACGAGGUCUCUUAGUCAUUUACGGUCACAGUUGGGAGAAAGGUCACAGAGUGCCGUUCUUUUGGGAGAGUGCUCUUCAACAGGCACCUGCAUCCCCCAGGCUUCUCUUUUCAGUUUGCCACUCCACAGCAAUCAUUUCUGGCUGGCGGUAUACCUGGGGAACCCAGCAGAAGCAAAUGCAAACCUGCUCUGGAAGAACAAAUCCACACCUUAGGCCACGUGGAAUUCCCACAGGGAAAAAUAAAUCUCCCUGAAGAAUUUAUAAUACAGAUGUAUAAAACACUAAAGGAAAAGAUCCUUUAUGAAUAAGAGUCAGUAGAUAAAAUAGGCAGAAUGAUUCACUCCCCCGCAACUCGAGACGACAGAACAGGUUUAAAAUAUUAUAAAUAUAUUAGGCUUUGGUGAGUUAAGGAAAUGAAAGAAAUAAGCACACAAGAAAAGAAACUAAAAGAAAAAAAGAACCAAAUAAAACAUAUAGAAAUGAAAAGAUAGUGAAACUAAAGACUCAAUGAACGUGUUAAACAGAAGAUUAGAUAGAACCAAAUAGGGAAUUGGUGAACUGAAAGAUAGAUUUGAAACAGCAACUAUACAAAAUUCAGCAUGGAUUAAGAGAAUAAGAGAAGAAAUAUGAAAAAAAUGGUUGAGGCAUAAAAAAAUGACAGAGUCAACAUGCAUACCAAUAUAGUAGGAGUUCUAAAAGGAGAAAACAGACUGGGGGAAAGGCAAGGUAAUAAAGAGGAAAAUUUUCCAGAAUUGGUAAAUAUUAUAACCCUUUAAAUUGAAGAUGAAAAAUGAGUUAAGAACUAGAAAUAAAUUCACCUCUAGGCACAUAAUAGUGAAAUUUCAAAAUAAAAAAACAAAGUGAAACUCUUAUUAGUUACCAGAUAAAUUCAGAUUAUUAAGGACAAAAAUGAGACCCAGAGACUUGUGAACAGCAAUAACAGAGGCAUUGGAAAAAUGACAGAGACACCUGAAAAAUGCCAAGCAAAAAUAAUUAUCAACCUAAAAUGUAUCAGCUAAUUUAUCAUUCAACCUUGAGCAUGAAAUAGACACAUUCAGACAAAGACUGAGAAAGUUCAUCUGUCACACACCCUUCCUGAAAAAUUUUCUAAAGGAAGAACUGCAAGAAUAAGGAGACAGAACCCAAGAGAAAGUAGUGGGUGUAUGCAGUAAUGAUUAGCAAAUAAACCAGUAAAUGAUAGGAAUGCAUUUUUAAAUAAGCAAACAAAAAUAUUUAUUUUAAAACACCAGUAACAACAAUAAUAAUGAGGGAAAAAUUUAAAUAUUAGACAACAAUGACAUGUAAGAUAGAGUGGUUGAUUGGAGUUAGAAUUUUUUAAAGUUUUUGUGUUGUUCAGAAG
RNAcentral lists this long non-coding RNA (3271 nucleotides) under Homo sapiens (human). RNAcentral's name for it is "HSALNT0381488". The record is from RNAcentral. Lineage: Eukaryota; Metazoa; Chordata; Mammalia; Primates; Hominidae.